ACACGAGCAGUUCGUAACAAGGC
RNAcentral lists this microRNA (23 nucleotides) under Melibe leonina. RNAcentral's name for it is "mle-miR-375-5p". Its record names the gene mle-miR-375-5p. Lineage: Eukaryota; Metazoa; Mollusca; Gastropoda; Nudibranchia; Dendronotidae. The record is from miRBase by way of RNAcentral.